GUGAGGAAUAUUGGUCAAUGGGCGGGAGCCUGAACCAGCCAAGUCGCGUGAAGGAAGAAGGAUCUAUGGUUCGUAAACUUCUUUUGCAGGGGAAUAAAGUGCAGGACGUGUCCUGUUUUGUAUGUACCCUGAGAAUAAGGAUCGGCUAACUCCGUGCCAGCAGCCGCGGUAAUACGGAGGAUCCGAGCGUUAUCCGGAUUUAUUGGGUUUAAAGGGUGCGUAGGUGGUUUGAUAAGUCAGCGGUGAAAGUUUGCAGCUUAACUGUAAAAAUUCCGUUUAAACUGUCGGACAUGAGUGUAAAUGAGGUAGGCGGAAUGCGUGGUGUAUCGGUGAAAUGCAUAGAUAUCACGCAGAACUCCGAUGGCGAAGGCAGCUUACUAAGCUACAACUGACACUGAAGCACGAAAGCGUGUGGAUCAAACAGGAUUAGAUACCCCGGUAGUCC
RNAcentral lists this ribosomal RNA (445 nucleotides) under uncultured bacterium. Its description in RNAcentral is "partial 16S ribosomal RNA". It matches the Rfam family "Bacterial small subunit ribosomal RNA", at positions 354 to 796 of the family's 1533-position model. The record is from RNAcentral.